AUUGAACGCUGGCGGCCGGCUUAAUACAUGCAAGUCGAACGAGUGGCGGACGGGUGAUUAAUGUCUGGGACACUGCCUGAUGGAGGGGGAUAACUACUGGAAACGGUAGCUACUACCGCAUACCCUCGGAUGUGCCCAGAUGGGAUUCGCUAGUAGGUGGGGUAAUGGCUCACCUAGGCGACGAUCCCUAGCUGGUCUGAGAGGAUGACCAGCCACACUGGAACGGAGACACGGUCCAGACUCGUACGGGAGGCAGCAGUGGGGAAUAUUGCACAAUGGGCGCAAGCCUGAUGCAGACAUGCCGCGUGUGUGAAGAAGGCCUUCGGGUUGUAAAGUACUUUCAGCGGGGAGGCGUUACCCGCAGAAGAAGCACCGGCUAACGCCGUGCCAGCAGCCGCGGUAAUUC
This 406-nucleotide ribosomal RNA is filed under the name uncultured bacterium. Its description in RNAcentral is "partial 16S ribosomal RNA". It matches the Rfam family "Bacterial small subunit ribosomal RNA", at positions 30 to 526 of the family's 1533-position model. The record is from RNAcentral.